Molecule: long non-coding RNA, 21095 nt
Filed under: Arachis ipaensis
Lineage: Eukaryota; Viridiplantae; Streptophyta; Magnoliopsida; Fabales; Fabaceae
Description: long non-coding RNA (AIPA_LNC000533)
Source: RNAcentral
UUAUAGUGAGGGGAUAGGAGAUGAAGCUUCAAGAAUACGGAUUAAAGAUGGGUGUAAAAUUCCCGGUGAAAAAACUGUACUAUGCAUUGAAGAAUCAGCUUGCUAUAUAAAUGAUAUUGUGGUAGGAGGAUUUGUUCGUGCAUGUGUUGAACAUUAUCUCGAGGAAGGGCAAGGUGUAGCUGGGAAAGCGCUUCAAUCAAAUCGUCCAUUCUUCUAUUCCGAUGUGAAGGCCUAUAAUAUUAGUGAAUAUCCCCUUGUUCACCAUGCGCGAAAAUAUAAGUUGAAUGCUGCCGUUGCAGUCAGGCUAAGGAGUAUUCAUACCAAUGAUGAUGAUUACAUAAUAGAAUUCUUUCUACCUGUCAUUAUGAAUGGAAGUCAAGAACAGCAACUUUUAUUAGACAAUCUAUCAGAUACUAUGCAGAGAAUGUGUCAGAGUUUGAGGAUAGUUUCGGAUGAUGAAUUAUACGGGAUAGAAGGUUCGCAAGUGCAGUUUUCAAAGGAAGAAGGCUCGAGUUUUUUCUCUAUGUCUAGGGGAAAUUCUCAUAUGGCGCCGGAAGGUGACCAUGAUUCGGUCCAGCCUAUGUCCUUGACAAACAAUGAAACUGAAGCUGCUCAUAACCAGGUAUAUCUUAACAGUUGCUUCAUUUGAGAAAUCAUUUAUUAUAAUUUAUGAUUCAACUUUGUAGGCAAUGGAUGGAUCAAGAAAGCAGACUGAGAAAAAGAAAAGUACAGUGGAGAAGAAUGUUAGCUUGAGUGUUCUCCAGCAAUACUUCUCCGGUAGUCUUAAAGAUGCGGCUAAAAGCCUUGGUGGUAAGACUACUACAGCUUUGUCCUUGCAGAUUUCUUUUAAUUUAUUCAAUCAGCAUAUUAUUUUGGGUUAGAUGAUAGAUUCUGGUUCUAAAAAUAUAUAGAUGAUAAAUAUUUGUGAAAAACACCAAGAUGAUUAUUAUUGACAAGUGAUUCUUCUUGAACAGUUUGCCCAACAACCCUGAAAAGGAUAUGCAGGCAACACGGAAUCGCAAGAUGGCCAUCGCGCAAGAUCAAUAAAGUUAAUCGUUCGUUAAAAAAAAUACAAACCGUGCUUGACUCAGUCCAGGGUGUGGAAGGAGGACUGAAGUUUGAUCCUUACAAGGGGGGAUUUAUUCCAGGAGGAUCAAGCAACCAAGAAAUUAAUGCACAUAAAAGUUCUCUCUUCCGGAAGAAAUGUUCUGGAAAAUAUCCUGAUCCUGCAUCAAAAGAUGCAGUCACCGUAUCUCCGGCAUCUGGUAGCAAAGGUGAGAAUUUAGCUUCUGCAUUUAGACAUGCUUAUCUCUAAUUCCAAGGGUGAGUUGAAGAAAAACAAAGCUUUUUCUGUUGAUGUAGAUUCAAAGCCAAUAGGCAUGGAUGAUGGUGGAUUACGGCAGGAACCCUUUCCGGUUUCUAUUUUGGAAAGUUCUAGGUGUGAUAUAGUAUAUCACAGUCCAAACACCCUGGUUGCCGAUGAGAUGGAAAAUUAUCUGAAUGGGGCUGACAAGCUCGGCGAGCAUCACAAUCCCACUACUUCAAGCAUGUCAGACUCGUCAAAUGGCUCUGGCUCUCGGAAAUUUGAGAAUCGGAAACAUUUGAAAGCCAAAUCACCUUGUGUUGAUAAGGGAUCAAAAAUUAUUGUCAAAGCUGCCUACAAAGAAGAUAUGAUCCGUUUCAAGUUUGAUCCUGCAGCUGGUUGUCUCCAGCUCUAUGAACAAGUUGCAACAAGAUUUAAAUUACAAAUCGGAUCAUUCCAGCUGAAGUAUCUCGACGAUGAAGAGGAAUGGGUGAGGAUGGUAAAUGACUCAGAUUUGGAAGAAUGCAUAGAAAUAUUGGAUGAUCUUGGCACCCGUGCUGUGAAAUUUCUUGUUAGCGACAUGCCUAGUGGUUUGAGCAGCAGUGGCAGUAACAGUUGAUGAAUUCAAUGAAGCACAAGAAAUCUUUGAUCCAAAUAACCCCAAUGACACAUCUAAGAUAUUCCAUAGAAAUGUCUUCAUCCGACUUGUGUGGCUAAAAAGCAAUACUAAUGAAAUAUUGUUGACGGACGAAUUCAAUGUGGCAACUGAAUUCUUCAAUCAACAUAUUUCAUUAGCAUUGCCUUUUAGACACACAAUCAGAUGAAGAUGUUUCUAUGAAAUUUUCUGAAUGUGGCAUUAAGAUUAUUUGGAUCAAAGAUUUCUUGUAGUUUAAUCUUAGAACCUUGAAGCAUGAUCAUGCUUCUUCAAAGUGUCUAUUUUCAGAAGGUAGGAUAAUAGUUACAAGUAAGCACUAGAAUGUUAAAUACAUAGUUCUAUACAUGACUAUUAUUCUACAUUCUGAAAAUAGACACUUUGAAAAAGUAUGAUCAUGCUUCAAGGUUCUUUCCUCUAUAAAAAUUAAAUAGCUUAUAAAGUUUUAUAGUUAAAUAGUUAAGAUAAAUAGCUCUAGUUUGCUUUUAUCCCAAUUUUUAUAUAAAAUCAUCAAUAAUUUGGGAAAGAUAUUGUAAAUAAAUUUUCAUAUAAUUUUGUUGUUUUUAUCCUCACAAGAUAAUCUGAUUAAUAAUAAAAAUUAAUACCGUUUCCAGUGUAUUGUAUGUAAAAUUGUGCAUAGACUGAAGUCAAAGAACAAAUUCAUCCAACAAAGCAAUUCAAUGAUUUUCUGAAAUAAAAAUAAUUCUAAAAUUCUGUUUCUUUGAUUUUAUUAAAAAAUAUAACUAUUUAAAACUAUUUUAGUUAAUAUUAUAUACAAAUUCUAUUAGAGUUGGUAUUCUAACGUUUGUAUUUUUUUAUACAAAAAAAUCUUUUUAAAUUUCUCAUAGAAAUCGAUUGCAUUGAUGAAUAAGCUCUCAAUGCUGUCCAAAAACCUUUCCUAUUUCAAAGAGUGUUUUGGAUUUUUUUUAAUCUCGAGGUGCGUUUAUUUGGAACUGUCGUGCAUCUAAUAUAGUGAUAGUGAUUGCGCUGAUGAAUAAGCUUUCAACGCUGUCCAAAAACCUUUCCUUUUACAAAGAGUUUCUUGGAUUUUUUUUAUCUCGAGGUGCGUUUUGUUGGAACUGUUAUGCAUCUAAUAUAGUGAUAGUGAUUGCGCCGUUCAAAAACCUUUCCUUUUACAAAGAGUCUUUUGGAUUUUUUUUAUCUCGAGGUGCGUUUUUUUUUUGAACUGUCAUGCAUCUAAUAUAGUUAUUGUGAUUGCAUUGUCCAAAAAUCUUUUCUUUUUACAGAGUUUUUUGAAACUGUCAUGCAUAAUAUAGUGAUAGUGAUUGCGCUGUUCAAGAAUUUUUUUAUCUCGGGGUGCCACGCAUCUAAUAUAGUUUAUUUUUUCUAGAUCUCGAGGUACGAUCCAUGCAUCUAAUAUAGUUUAUUUUUUUUUUAUCUCAAGGUGCGAUUUUUUAGAACCGCCAUGCAAUAAAUAGUUUUUUAUUAGGUUUAAGUUUAACAAAGAGUCAGAAUUUUCUUUUGAAUAAUGGAAAGGGCGAAUGGUGGGAAUCGAACUCGCGUCUUCUCCUUGACAAAGAGAAAUUUUAUUAUUGAACUAUAUUUGCAUAUUUGAAUUGUAUUUGAUACGGAAUAUAUUAAUUUUAUUUGUGUUUUAAUUUUAUAUAGAUUACUCUAUGCUUUUAAUGUUAAUAGGAUUUUUUAAAUAUUACUUUUUAUAUUUUCUUAUUUUUUAAUGUUAUAUAAGUUAUAAUUUUAUAUUCUCCUAUUCUCUAUUUUUAUAUAGGUUACUCUAUCUUUUUAUAGUCUCUUACUAUUUAUUUUUAUAUAAGAUACUGUAUGGUUUUAAUGUUAAUAUUAUUUCUCUUUAAUGGGUAUAAAUUGAGUAAUAAAACAUAAUUCAUCCUCUUCUUUUAUACAUAAGGUUUAGGGUUUUUCAAAAGUAACUUUUUUGAGUUUUUGACCUAUAAAAAGUAGUGGUAUUAAUGUCUAGUACAAUUUUCAAAACCAAAUUGCAGCUUCUAAGAAGCUAUUUAGAAACUUAUAGAGAAGUUAAAAAAAAAAAACUUCUUUCAUAAUUCUACUAUUUUUUAUCACAAUUCUAGAAAAUAAGCACUUUUAAAGCUAAAAACUCAAACACAAAAUAAUUUAUUUAUAAACUACUUUUAAUAUAAUCAUUUAUUGUUUAAGGGCCAGUUUGGCUAAACUUCUUAAAUAAGUUCUUUUGAAAAAGGAGUUUAAAAUAUAAGGACUUUUAUUAAUAUUAACUUUUAAAUAAGUUAUUUUGAGUUUGGAAAGUUAUUAUGGAAGUCAUUGUUUUAAAAUUGUGCAUUAAAUAAGAGUGAUAAAAUAGCUUUUGAAAAUAGGAGAAGUCACAUUUUUUAACUUCUUCAAAAGCUCUUAAAUAACUUUUUAAAAAGUCAAAAGUUUAUCUAAAAAAUUAUACCAAACACAUUAAUGUAACUUUCUAUAAGUCAAAAGUUGAAAAAAGUAACUUUUUGGUGUUUCCCAAACGAACCCUAAGUUGUUUUUCAAAAGGAGUUUAAUUAAGCUGUUUAAUUAACAUUUACUUAACACCUCUUCUUUAUCUUCUCUUUUACAUAAUAUCAUGCCACUUAUUUUUUUUCCUCCAUUCUUAUUAAUAUUUUGCACAAAUAUUUAAAGAAUUCAGUUGAUAGCACAAUUCUUUUUUUUAGUUUGAUAAAUAUAUGUAUGAAGUAAUAAAUUCUUAAAAUACUAAAUCUUUACAAUUUUUUUUAAUUUUUGGUUUAAUUAUAUUCACCAGUUAUUUCAAUCAUAUAUUAUUUAAAUUAUCUGAAUGGGGCUGACAAGCUUGGCGAGCAUCACAAUCCCGCUACUUCAAGCAUGUCAGACUCGUCAAAUGACUCUGGCUCUCGGAAAUUUGAGAAUCGGAAACAUUUGAAAGCCAAAUCACCUUGUGUUGAUAGGGGAUCAAAAAUUAUUGUCAAAGCUGCCUACAAAGAAGAUAUGAUCCGUUUCAAGUUUGAUCCUGCAGCUGGUUGUCUCCAGCUCUAUGAACAAGUUGCAACAAGAUUUAAAUUACAAAUCGGAUCAUUCCAGCUGAAGUAUCUCGACGAUGAAGAGGAAUGGGUUUGGAUGGUAAAUGACUCAGAUUUGGAAGAAUGCAUAGAAAUAUUGGAUGAUCUUGGCACCCGUUCUGUGAAAUUUCUUGUUCGCGACAUGCUUAGUGGAAAUCUUUGAUCCAAAUAACCCAAUGACACAUCCAAGAUACUCCAUAGAAAUGUCUUCAUAUGAUUUGUGUGGCUAAAAAGUAAUACUAAUGAAAUAUUGUUGACAGACGAAUUUUAUGCGGCAACUGAAUUCUUCAAUCAACAUAUUUCAUUAGCAUUGCCUUUUAGGCACGCAAUUAAAUGAAAACAUUUCUAUAAAAUUUUCUGGAUGUAGCAUUAAGAUUAUUUGGAUCAAAGAUUUUUUGUAGUUUAAUCUUCAUAGAGAAAAGUAUUUAACAUUCUAAUACUUACUAGUGACUAUUAUCCUACCUUCUGAAAAUAGACACUUUAAGGAAGCAUGAUCAUGCUUUAAGAUUCUUUUCUCUAGAAAGAUUAAACAAUAAAUGAGAGAAGUUAAAAUAACUUAAUUAAGCUCCUUUUGAUAAAAUAACUUAAACAAUAAAUGACUCUGUUAAAAAUAACUUAUAAAUAAGUUAUUUUGUGUUUGAAUUUUUAACUCUAAAAGUGCUUAUUUAAAAAAAAUGUAAUGAGAAGUAGAAGUAUUAUGAGAGAAGUCAUUUUUUUUAACUUCUCUAUAAGCUCCAAAAUAGCUUCUUAGAAAGUUGCAAUUUGGUUUUGAAAAUUGCACCCGACAUUAAUACUACUACUUUUCAUAAGUCAAGAGUAAAAAAAAAAGCUACUUCUAGAGUUUCCCAAACGGGCCCUAAAUAGUUUAUAGAGUUUUAUAGUUAAAUAGUUACAGUCAACCGUGAGAUAAAUAGCUCUAGGUUGCUUUUAUCCCAAUUUUUGUAUAAAAUCAUCAAUAAUUUGGGAUAGAUAUUAUAAAUAAAUUUUCAUAUAAUUUUGUUGUUUUUAUUCUCACAGAAUAAUCUAAUUAAUAAUAGAAAUUAAUACCGUUUCCGUUUCCAGUGAUUAUUUUUAUUUAAAGAUUCUAUUAAAAUUAAAUAAAAAUGAUUCUAAAAUUCUGUUUUUUUGAUUUUAUUAAAAAAUAUAACUAUUUAAAACUAUUUUAGUUAGUAUUAUAUACAAAUUCUAUAUUCUAUUAGAGAAUAGAAUCCAACUAAUUCAAAGUAUUCUAACGUUUGUAUUUUUUUAUACAAAAAAAGCUUUUAAAAUUUCUCGUAGAAAUUGAUUGCAUGAAAAAUCUUUCCUAUUCCAAAAAAUUGUUGGGAUUUUUUUUAAUCUCGAUGUGCGUUUAUUUAAAAUUGUCAUGCAUCUAAUACAGUGAUAGUGAUUGUGCCGAUGAAUAAGCUUUCAAUGCUGUCCAAAAACCUUUUCUUUUACAAAGAGUUUUUUGAAUUUUUUUUUAUUUUGAGAUGCGUUUUCUUUGGAACUACCAUGCAUCUUAUAUAGUGAUAGUGAUUGUGCUGUCCAAAAACCUUUCCUUUUACAAAGAACUUUUUGGAAUUUUUGAAUUUUUUUUAUUUCGAAAUGCGUUUCUUUGAAAUUACCAUGCAUCUAAUAUAGUGAUAGUGAUUGCGCUGUCUAAAAACCUUUUUUUUUUCACAGAGUUUUUUGAAUUUUUUUUUAUUUUGAGAUGCAUUUUCUUUGUAACUACUAUGCAUCUAAUAUAGUGAUAAUGAUUGUGCUAUCCAAAAAACCUUUCCUUUUACAAAGAGCUUUUUGGAUUUUUUGAAUUUUUUUAUUUCGAGAUGCGUUUCUUUGGAACUGUCAUGCAUCUAAUAUAGUGAUAGUGAUUACCCUGUCCAAAAACUUUUCUCUUUACAAAGAGUUUUUUGGAUUUUUUAUAUGCAUUUCGUACUUUUUUUGGAACUGUCAUGCAUCUAAUAUAGUUUAUUUUUUUUAGAUCUCAAGAUGCGUUUCUUUAGAAUUACCACGCAUCUAAUACAGUCAUAGUGAUUGCGCUUAUAAAUAAGCUUUCAAUGCUAUCCAAAAAUCUUUCCUUUUUUACAAAGAGUUUUUUUGAUUUUUUUUUAUUUCGAGAUGCAUUUCUUUAAAACUGCCAUACAUCUAAUAUAGUGAUAGGAUUGCGCUGUCCAAAAAUCUUUCCUUUUACAAAGAGUUUUUUGGAUUUUUUAAAUUUUUUUAUUUCGGUAUACGUUUCUUUGGAAUUGCCAUGCAUCUAAUAUAGUGAUAGUGAUUACUCUGUCCAAAAAUCUUUCUUUUACAAAUAGUUCUUUGGUUUUUUUUUUAUAUUUCUUUUGUGACCUUUUUUUAUAUGCGUUUCUUUGAUUAUAAGUAAAAAUUUUUAUUUAAUAGAAUUAUUUUUAUUUAAAAAUUUUAUUAAAAUUAAAUAAAAAUAAUUUUAAAAAUUCUAUUUCUUUGGAAUUUUUUUUAUCUCGAGAUGCGUUUCUUUGGAACUACCAUGCAUCUAAUAUAGUGACAGAGAUUGCGUUGAUGAUUAAGCUUUGAAUGUUUAUUCAAAAAUCUUUCCUUUUUUUCAUAAUUUUUUAGAUUUUUUUUUAUCUCGAGGUGCGUUUCUUUAGAACUGUGAUGCAUUUAAUAUAGUUUAUUUUUUAUUUUUUGGAUCUCCUUGACAAAGAAAAAUUUUAUCAUUGGACUAAUUCGCAUUUUUAAAUUGUAUUUGAUAUGUAAUAUAUCAAUUUUUUUUGUGUUUUAAUUUUAUAUAGAUUACUCUAUGAUUUUAAUGUUAAUAGAAGGGAUAAGUACAAUUUUGGUCCCUCACGUUAAGGGUCAGAAUCGAAAUCGUCCUUCGUGUAUAUUUUGAUUUAAAAUCAUCUUUAACGUAUUUUUUUGUAUUAAAAUCGUCAUUUUAAAUUUUUUUGGACAAAAAAGCCCUCCACUACCAUCAUCACCUUUACCUCCAUCACCAUCAGCACCUUUACUCCCACCACCACCACCACCUUUACCUCCACCACCAAGAAAAAUGACAUCAAUAAAAUCAACAUCAUCAUCAUCAACACCCACUGCCACUCCACCACCACCAACGCCGCCGCCGUCCGCCUCCCCCUCCGCCUNNNNNNNNNNNNNNNNNNNNNNNNNNNNNNNNNNNNNNNNNNNNNNNNNNNNNNNNNNNNNNNNNNNNNNNNNNNNNNNNNNNNNNNNNNNNNNNNNNNNNNNNNNNNNNNNNNNNNNNNNNNNNNNNNNNNNNNNNNNNNNNNNNNNNNNNNNNNNNNNNNNNNNNNNNNNNNNNNNNNNNNNNNNNNNNNNNNNNNNNNNNNNNNNNNNNNNNNNNNNNNNNNNNNNNNNNNNNNNNNNNNNNNNNNNNNNNNNNNNNNNNNNNNNNNNNNNNNNNNNNNNNNNNNNNNNNNNNNNNNNNNNNNNNNNNNNNNNNNNNNNNNNNNNNNNNNNNNNNNNNNNNNNNNNNNNNNNNNNNNNNNNNNNNNNNNNNNNNNNNNNNNNNNNNNNNNNNNNNNNNNNNNNNNUUUCCUCUCCCCCUCCCCCAAAACGUGUUCUUUUCUUUUUUUUUAAUAAAUAUCUUAAUUUUUUUAUUAUUAAAGUAGGGGUAUUUUAGGAAUAAAAUUAAAUUUUUUUCUAAAAAGGACGAUUUUAAUACAAAAAAACACGUUAAGAAUGAUUUUAAAUCAAAAUAUACACAAUGGACGAUUUCGAUUUUGACCCUCAACGUGAGGGACCAAAAUCGUACUUAUCCCUUAAUAGAAUUCUUUAAAUAUUAUUUUUCAUAUUUUCUUAUUCUUUAAUUUUAUAUAAGUUUCUAUAUCCUUUCAAUGUUAAUAAAUUCUUUUUAAUAGGUAUAAAUUGAGUUAAAUUCUAAUUUAUUCUCACAUUUUAUAUUUACUUUUUGUUAUAUCACUAUAUAAAUCAACAUUCAUUUUAUAUAAUUUUUUUAUCCCUUCUCACAUAAUCUUAUAUCUCUUUUUUUCCUACCACUUUCACUAAAUAUACGUAGUAAGUGACUAUGUAAUUGUAUUUAUUAGGAAGAAAAUGAUAGUGACUCAACCAACCAUGAAAAAGAAGACUUGACUUAAAUUACUUUUUAAUCCUUUUGAUUUUAAUUGAAUUACUUUUAACUAUUUUAUUUCUACUUCUCAUGUACCUUAUUAUUAUAGCUUAGGUUUUUUUUUUCAUUUCUCUCAUGACAUUUAUUUUUCUUUAGAUUACUCUAUAAUUUCAUAUUCUCUUCUUCUCUACUUUUAUAUAGGAUACUGUAUGUCUUCAAUGUUAUAUUAUUUCUCUUUAUUAGCAAUAAACAUAAUUCAUCCUCUUUUUAUACUCACUCUUUUUUAUGGUUAUUACAUAGUGUUACAAUUUAGGAUUCUUCUUCAUUUUUCUUUUCACUCUGUUUUUUAUAGUCUCUUACUAUUUAUUUUUAUAUAAGAUACGAUAUGGUUUUAAUGUUAAUAUUAUUUCUCUUUAAUAGGUAUAAAUUGAGUAAUAAAACAUAAUUCAUCCUCUUCUUUCAUACUUAAUUACUCCUUAUAUUUUUUAUAUAAAUCAACAUUUACUUGACAUUUAUUCUUUAUCUUCUCUUUCACAUAAUAUUAUGCCACUUAUUUUUUUCUCCGUUUUUACUAAUAUUUUGCACAAAUAUUUAAAAAAUUCAGUUGAUAGCCACAAUUUUUUUUUUUAGUUUGAUAAACAUAUGUAUGAAGUAAUAAAUUCUUAAAAUACUAUAUAUAUCCGAUUUGAAUUGAUUUCAAUUGAUCCCUUAUUAUUUCUCCUACGUAUUAGUAAGAGAUAGGAAUGACAGGAUUUGAAAUUUAAAAAUUUAUUAUUUUUGGAUCACCAAUUUAGUAUUCUAUUCAAAAUAUUUUUUUUUAUAAAAUAAAUAGAUUUCAAAAUAGAUAUUUAUAUGAGUUAUAAGUAAAAAUUUUUAUUUAAUAGAAUUAUUUUUAUUUAAAGAUUCUAUUAAAAUUAAAUAAAAAUAAUUCUAAAAUUCUGUUUCUUUGAUUUUAUUAAAAGAUAUAACUAUUUGAAACUAUUUUAGUUAACAUUAUAUACAAAUUCUAUAUUCUAUUAGAGAAUAGAAUCCAACUAAUUUAGAGUAUUUUAACGUUUAUAUUUUUUUAUACAAUCUUUUUUAAAUUUCUCGUAGAAAUUGAUUGCGUUGAUGAAUAAGCUUUCAAUGCUGUCCAAAAACAUUUCCUUUUACAAAGAGUUUUUUGGAUUUUUUUUAUCUCGAUGUGCGUUUCUUUGGAACUGUCAUGCAUCUAAUACAGUGAUAGUGAUUGCGCUGUUCAAAAACCUUUCCUUGGUGCGUUUCUUUGGAACUAUCAUGCAUCUAAUAUAGUGAUAGUGAUUGCAUUGUCCAAAAUCUUUUCCUUUUACAAAGAGUUUUUUGGAACUGUCAUACAUCUAAUAUAGUGAUAAUGAUUACACUGUUCAAGGAUUUUUUUAUUUCGGGUUGCCACGCAUCUAAUAUAGUUUAUUUUUUUUUUCUGGAUCUCAAGGUACGGUCCAUGCAUCUAAUAUAGUUUAUUUUUUUUGUUGGAUCUCGAGGUGCAAUUUUUUUAAACCGCCAUGCAACAAAUAGUUUUUUAUUAUGUUUAACAAAGAGUCAAAAUUUUCUUUUGAAUAAUGGAAAGGGCGAAUAGUGGGAAUAAACCCGCGUCUUCUCUUUGGCAAAAAAAAAUUUUAUCAUUGGACUAUAUUUGCAUAUUUGAAUUGUAUUUGAUACGUAAUAUAUCAAUUUUAUUUGUGUUUUUUAAUUACUGACUUAUGUGUGAAAUUGGGCCAAAGACAUCUAUAUAGUCCAAAAUUUAAUUUAGAUGUCUAAAUUAUUACAAUUAGAAUUUUAAAAAUCAAAUUAAUACACAACACAAAUUUUAGAAAUUAUUUUAGAGAUUUAGUCCCUAAAUUCUUAAGCAGUUGCUAUUGCAUCUUUAGCAGCAACUGUUUUCACUGCAGCCAAAGUUCCACGCCCCUCUUCUUCCACGACAGCCUAAACUCUCUCAAGAAACUUAUCAUCCUCCCUCCUCAGGAAGAAAUGGCCUGCAUAAUUUGUAAAGAACUAAGGAGACAUGAGACAUCAAGUACGAAAGAAACUGAAUGUACAUUAUAUAUAGGAUAAAACACAUGCAUAAACCAAAUACAGAAUAAUAUUACGUGAAAAUUUUAAAUCAAAUAACGUUACUACAUGUAUGUCUUCAUUUAUAAUUUUAUAUAAAUCUAAUUUAUUGAAUUUAAAUUAGCCAUAGUACUAAAUCUAAUUGAUACAUAGAGACUCUCUAUGUAGAUAGAAUUAGGUAACUUCAAUUUACAUGCAUUUGGAAUGAUAAGUCGAAUCAAUUGGAUUCGAUUUACUUGAUUAGCACGUGCAAUCCAUAUAAAUAGAUACUUAUCAAUUCCAUUUACUUUGGAUUUUGCUUUUUUUUUAAUAUUUUUAAUACUUUUGAAACAGCACAAAAUACAUCAAACCCUCCAAAACAGAACAAAGAAAUAAAGCAUGAAAAAACAGACUCAUGCAAAGAAACAACACCUAAUAACAUCACACCUAUAAGUACAAAUCAAUGACGAGUAAAACAUCACUCCUUCUCUAUGCAAUAGUUUUUCUUAAUAGAUAUACAAACUAAAGAAUAAGUACUACUCAUUAUGUAUAAGCAACUUAAGUUUAGAUUCAAAUUAAAUGCUAUAUGUAAUCGAAAUAUCAACAUACAAUAGUAAAUAUAAUAAUGUAAAAUAAACUAUACGAACUUAUUAAUUUGCGAUGAUAAAAAGAAUUAAAUGCCAUAUGAGGAUUAGUGAUGAUGAAUCAUUAUUAUUGUUGUGGUGAGCAUACUUACACAGUUACACCUUCCAUCUUGCACUAAAAAAAAUGGAAUUUGCUUUAGUAGCUGCAUAUGCAUAUAAAAGAUUAGACAGCAUAGCAGCUUAGUUUCUUUGUAAGUAGUUUUUUUUUUUAAUCAAAGAAGUAAUGUAUAAAAAAAACAAAAUAAUUCACCAAUCAAUACAAUAAGUUGAAUCAAUAAAUUUAAAUACCAACACAAAAAAACAUAAUAAUUCAAAAUUUAAAGUAAUUCACCGUAUAUAUAAUGUACAGGAGCGUAUGAGUAAAAGUAAUUGCUUUAAAAUAAGCAUUAAUUUUAGAAAGAAAAAUCAAGGUUUUGAAAACCGGUGAUGCAAACGGUGCGAUCCCCUUCUUAAAACCGCGCCAGAAAGAACUGCUGAAAAAUCGGAAAACCGGCAAAAAAUUGGCCGGUUAGACCGAACCGGUGAUCGGCCGGUUCUGCUAAACGACGUCGUUUUAUUGUAAAAAUUAAAAAAAUAAAAAACUCACCCGACCCGACCCGCUCAUGGAGCACGGAGCACCCCAUCCCCCCUUCCCCCUCGACCCCCAUUCACGCAUUCAUUCAUGAUUCAUCUCACAGUGAGUGAAUCAGUGAACCCUAGCCGCCGUGAACCCUAGCCGCCCAGUCGCCCUCCUUCGUCGCCGCGCUCUCGGGUCGUCAGCCACCGCCGUCGCCUGGUCCUCAGCCCCAGUAACCCUCCAUCGUCGCCUGGUUCCCUGCCCAGUAGCCCUCCAUCUCCAUCGUCUUCAUCUUCUGAACACCAGCAGGCAGUAGCUCGCAUCGUCUUCAUCGUCGCGCGGUCCUCAACAGUCAACACCAGUAGCCCUCCAUCGACGCCAGGUGAGUGACUCGUCCUCUGCUCAUCUUCUUUGUUCUUCGCCUCUGCUCAUCUUCUCUAGUAUAAGAAACAUGAAAUUGAUACUCUGAACUUCCUCUGUGAACUACUGAACUUAGAUUUCUGUUUAAUUUUCUGUGAACUUCCUAUGUGAACUUCGAGUAUCUGUGAACUUCCUCUGUGAACUUCCUCUGCUCAUCUUCUUCCUUCUUCGUUCCUCUGCUCAAUAGCAUGAGAAAUAAAUAAUCUGUUUUGUAAAUAAUCUGUAAUUUGUUGCUCAAUUUCUGUUCGUUCCUCUGCUCAAAUUUGUUACUCUGUUUUGUAAAUAAGCUGUAAUUUGUUGCUCAAUUUCUGUUCAUUCCUUUGCUAAAUAAGCUGAAAUUUGUUAAUGUUCAUUGUGUAGGCAGAAUUGUGUGGCUGUUCAUAGUGUAGGCAGAAUUGUGUAGGCAGAAUUGUGUGGCUGUUCAUAGUGUAGGCAGAAUUGUGUAGGCAAAAAUUUGUUGCUCAAUUUCUGCUCAAAUUUCUGUUAAUGUUCAUUGUGUAGGCAGAAUUGUUAGGAUUCAUUGCUGUGGCUGUUUUUAAUUUCAUAUAUGUUUUAUUCAUUUGCAAGGUUAUUUUUGGUUGAUUUUUUAUUUAAUUUGAUAAUGGUGUUUAUGAUUGGGGUUAUCUGGUUUUCAUUCUUUUUGAAUUUGAAAAUUCCUCCUACUUCAAACUGCUUAUGCUGCUUUUCACUAUUUCUGGUGUGUAACUUGUAUACUUCUGCAUGAUUCUCUUUUGAUUCCACACAAAGUUGAUGAAAAAAACUGAUUUUGUUAUCUGGGGUAAUCUUAUUCUGUUUCUAUCUAUGUUUUCUUGCUAAUGGAACAUUCUAGUCUAGUUGUUUAGUGAUCAGAAUGUUAUUCCUUCUUAACUUCAUGGAAUGAAAGAGAAACUACAUUGCAUCCUCAGAGUCAGAGGAAUCAAAAACCAUUAAUUAAUUUAUAUAUUAUUCAUUUUAGUUUUAUGAUUCUAUCAAUUUGGUUGUGUACUUAUUCUUCUUAUUCAGCAUAGGAAUUUAGCUGUGUACUUAUUCUUCUACAUUGGCAUGUUCAUCUUCACUUUGCAAUAACAAAAAGCUUCUCAUUUGAUUAUCCAUUAACUACCUCAUUUUCUGGUACCAUUCCUUUUGUUAUGGCUUUAGCUGAAAAAAUUGGAGGGGCUGGAUGAGGAGACAUUGAUGCCUCAGAAGACAUCUUGAGGUUUUGAUGAUUGAUAACUCUUUAGGUUGACAUUUAAUAUUUGAUAUUUCUUUAUACAAUUUAACUUGAGUUUGUAUAUUAAUAAGAUUAUAUGAAUUUGAUUGAUGACAUUAAAUGUAGUUUUUUAAAUUUGAAAACUAUUUUAAUAUUUAUAUUAUACUAUAAUAUUAUACUAUAAUUAUAUUUUAGGAUGUUUAUUUAUAAUUUAUUUAUUAUUUUAUUUUAAAACAGUUUUUCCGGUUGAACCACUGGUUAGACUGGUUGGACUAGUAAACCAGUGAACCAGUAGCUAGAGCAGUUUGAUGACCGGUCCGGUUUUCCGAACCUUGAGAAAAAUAAAUGAAUUAGAGUUAAUUCACAUAAAAAAAUAAUGCUAUGAAUUUAAUUAUAUAAUAUUAGCAUAUAUCAACGAAGUUCUAAAUAACUAAAUAAUUUAAUGUGCAUAAUAUUUUUUUCUAAAUAUAAAUUAUUUUAUUCCAUUAAAGCAAUUGAAUAUAAGUGAUCCAAAAGAAAAUAAUAACAAGGUUAAAAUGGAAAAUUUUAUAAGAUGAUAUUUUCUAAUAUAACUAUAAAAUAGAUAGCUUACCCGUCGUCAAAGGAUUAAUCGAACUUUUUCUUGGAAUGCAUACUUGGCGAAACGAGCUAUUUCUAUGGGUGACAACCACUUCUUCUCGAAGACCAGCAUGUUUGGAGCUAUCCAUAGCUCCAAACUAGGUGUGCUGCUCUAUUCCUGUCUCCGUUUCUGUGUUCUUCUUAGAUAUUAUUCUACCAUUUCUAAAUUUCCUCAAAAGCGUCUCUCAUUGGAAGUUCAGCUACAUCUCCCACUAGAAAUUCAGCUGAUCUUCAUGCACCAACAAUUGAUUCAGGACAUGAGACCAACAAGUGAGUAACUAAUUCUUCCGAUUUUAUUUUGCAUGAUUUUUCAUAGAAAAUUUUUAUUCUUAAACUCUAAAUAAAUAAAUAAUUUAAUGUUCUUAAAUUGCUUUAUUUUUUUAAGGAUAGGUUAUUUUAUUCAAUUAAUGCAAUUGAAUAUAAAUGAUCUAAACGAGAACAAGAAGAAGAUCAAAAUGAAAAUUUUUACAAGACGAUAUUUUUUAACAAUUACAAAACACAUGAGUUUAUCCAUCAUCAAAAUACAGAUACUAAUCAGUCUUUUUCUUCAAAUGCAUUAAUGGCGAAACGAGCUCAUUUCCAUGGGUGACAGUCAAACGAGCUACUUCCAUAGGUGCAGCUUCUUCUCGAAGACUAGUAAGUUCUGAAUUUACCGUUAUAUUCUUUUUUGUCUGUCUGGCUCUUCGAAGUUCUUCGCAGAGAUUAUUUAUUUUGAUUGAUUAUAUUUGGGUACUUCGGGUUAACACUGUAAAUUUUUCAUAGAAUUUUUUUUAUUUAGCUGACGUCUCAGUUACCAAAUUAAAGAGUACAAAGGCAUUUGUCCAUACUGUUCUGGUGGUAAUUGCUCUAAUGGGAGAUAGAAGAACUGAUAAGCCAAUGAAUAUGCCGAAAAGAUUGAGUACUGCGAGUUCUACUCUCUUGAUCUGGUAAGUAUGUCUUCUUCGUCCGAGAGUCUGGAAUCUAAAGAAUAGCUUGUGUCAAAUUGUGAUUAAAAAGUUGAAUUGUUUUGUGUUUUCAUUAUCUGUCUGCUAUAAUUAAGACCGAAACCUAGAUAAGUUGUUGAUUUGGGCUUUGCGACAAUAAUUUUUGAUGGGGUUAAAUUGUUUGAGCCAAGAGUCUUGUAUGUUUUGACUUGACUUGAUUGUCUUCUUACCUUCUAGCAAACUCCUCUAAUCUUGUGAGGAAUUUAUUCCAAUGUCAGUCUUUAGAAACCUAGAAUUUGGCAUACUUCAAAGUAAGAGAGUGCAACUUAGUUUACAAUCUCUAGUCCUGUUUUUUAAGAGUGUCAAAUUAAACACUUUUAAAUUAAAGUUCAAUUCACCUUGAACUUUUGGUCUACUGAUUAUCUCUCAACUAACCUAGUGCAUUCUUCUUUCCAUUCUCUUUUAACCCCACAAAACUGUAGGACAACUCUAUGAAUUUCAUCGAUUAAAGUCUAGUAAAACUUAAAACAACUAAAAGUAUAAAUAGAGACAACCAGAGUUUAAAUUGUUUCGUAGUUGAAGAUUAUUUGACUAGUAACUGGGGAGAGAUAAAGCACUUUAAGGGUGAUGUUACAAGAACAAACAUGAUUGACGAGGUUAUACUUUGGAAGAUGCAAUUCAAUUAUUGUUAGAAAAAGAUGGUGUCAUAGCCAAAUAAGUUACUAUGAUAGUUAAUUACAAAAAUAUUGUUAAAUGAAUUGAAGGAAAAAAUAACAUUAGCUGGUAAUUAUGAUUCUUGAGAAACAAAACAAAGAAUUUAUCCACAUUUUUCAACAUAUGAAAGUGGUAUACAAGGAGGACAAAUGGUUUCCGACCAUGGGAGUAGAUUGCUUUAAAUAAAGCUAGUAGGUGGACAACUAGGAGUUCAUGAAUCAAAUGAUAUAUGCAUUCACAAUAAAAGAUAAAGAUGCUUAGUAAUACAAGGUGUUUAUGUAAUAUAUACAUGUAUGUGGUUGGUGAGUCAUGAAAUUGUGAUAGUUUGUAAUGUUAGGGGGAUAGGUGUUACUAAAAAAUCGGAAAAUAUAUUGAAUGUGCUGAGUUGGAUUCAAUAUCCAUGUAAUCUAAAUUUUUUUUUAUGGCAUUAUCAAAGGGGAUUAUUAGAUUCAUAAGAAACUCUUUUAUAAUUCUCUAUCUUGAGUCGAGACUUUUAAGACUGAUCUAAAAAGAGACAUUCAGGCAACUUCUUUAACUAGAACUUCCUUUCCAUUAUUGAAGAGUGGUGAUAUUUUUCAAUGUUGCAGCUUCUUAAUCACUUUUUUGUCCUUGAUAUAUCCAAAUGUAACCUUUUGGACCUCUGGACCACUGACAAAAAUCCAAAAUGUUUGUCUUGACUUCUAACAUUAUCGAUCUGUACAAUUUCAGCCAGCCUUUCUAUAAUUUUUAUAGGAGUGUUAUUGUUGAAAAAUACAUAAAAUUUGUCUAAAUUUACCACUUAACUACUAAUUUCACGAUAGCUUUGUAGUACGUUCAACAUAUUAAAGCAUUUUGUCUCCUUACUUUAUAAAAUAAAAUUGAGUGAUUUGUAAAAAAUAAGUGACUUACUUUCGAACGUCUAUAAUUCAAUCUAAUUCGAGUAAUCUCUUGUAUUCUUUUUAGUGUAAAAGAUUUAUAAAUAACUAAUCAUAUAUUAUUAUAUUAGUAAAAAUAAUUAUUUUUCACAAUCAUUAUUUAAAAAGACAUAUAAAUGCAUGAAUUUAAUUAAUUUGUAAUUAUACAAAAAAGUUUAUAUUAAAAUUAACUCACAUAUAUGUAAAAAGAUAAAAACAACAAAAUCUUGUCCCACUAGGUAGGGUCGGCUACAUAAAUCAAACGACGCCAUUGUGUUCGGUCAUGUAUCAUGUCUACAGAGAGACCGUUUAUAUGUAGAUCUCGUUUGACCACUUCAUGGAUGGUCUUUUUAGGUCUUCCUCUUCCUUUCACCCCUUGUCCAUCUUCUAUCUCAUCCACCCCCUUAAUUGGGUGUUCUGUCGGUCUUCUUCUCACAUGUCCAAACCACCUGAGACGCAAUUCAACCAUCUUUUUCACAAUGAGUGCUACUCCAACUCUCUCCCUUAUAUCUUCGUUCCUUAAAAAUAUAAAUAUUAUUGAGUUUUUGCAAAUAUCAAAAUUGACAAAUAUAAUAUUUACUUAAAUUGAUAAUAAUAAUAAUAAAUUGCAGUUUUAUUUGAAUAAAUAUUUUAUUUGAUCACCUACUAAUUUAAAAACUUAGCUAUACAAGGAUAUACAUAAAAUAUAUAAUAAUUAAAAAAAAUAUCUGACAAAAAUCGAAUAAAAUAAGAGAAAGAAGACAAGAAUGUAAAUCUUCUCCUUGCUGGUAUCCGUUUUCCAAGAUUACAACCUUACCACAAACACAAGACUUACGUAGCCCAGAUUGAUUUUUAGUUUUUUAAAAUCAAUUAUAAAAUGAGGGAAAGAAAAUAAAUGAGAAAUGAGUUCUUGAUUAUUCUUCUUUUUUUUUUAAAGAUAUCUAUGUUCUAGCAAAACUUAAUUAUCUAUAAAUCUUUAUGAGAUUCAUAAGUUUUUCUAUUAAGGUAUAUAAGUUGUCUUAAGUUUUUAAUAGUUAAAAACCUAUGAAUAUUCAUGUUAUAAUUCGAAUUUAUAUGUUUUCAUAAAAAAAAAAGUUAAAAACCUAUUAUUUGUUUUUAUAUUUAAUUAUAUAAUAUCAUAUUAAUAUUAUACAUAAUUAUAUUUAAAAAAUGAUUUAAUUAAAUAAUAAUAUAAAUAUGAUACUAAAAUAACAUAAUAAAAUUGAACUCAUGAUAUUUGUAUGUUUAAUUAGACAUGCUAUGGCAAUUACUAAUCUGUGCUUCAUAGGCUUAGAAUAAGAAACGUAGAGAUAAAUACAUAAAAAAAAGUCUCGAAAAUAGAAAAAAAUAUAAAUUUGAAUUAAAAUGAAUCAUUCAUAGGUUUUUAACUAUUGAAAACUUAAGACAACUUAUAUAUCUUAAUAGAAAAACUUAUGAAUCUCACAUUUUUAAUAAUUAGAGAUUUAUAAAUAAUUAAGUUUUGUUAGAACAUAGGUAUCUUCCAAAAAAAAAUCAAGAACUCAUUUCUCCUUUAUUUUCUUUCUCUCAUUUUAUAAUAGAUUUUAAAAUGAACUUUAUGUUAAACUAACUUUAUGUUUAGAACAUGAACUUUGAGUUUAUAAUAUGAAUUCAUGUUAAUAUUAUGAACUUUAUGUUUAUAAAUUAUAACACGAACUUUUAUGUUAUAAACAUAAACUUUUAUAUAAAGGCCAAAUAAUUCAGUGUAAUUCUAUUUAAUUUGACUCUUGAAUUAUAAUUGGUUUUUUUUAAUCAAAAUGAAUUUAUUCUUAAAUUAUANNNNNNNNNNNNNNNNNNNNNNNAUUGGAUAAAAAUAAAUUUUUUAUCUUUAAUAUUAAUUAAUUAUUUUUUAAUUAAUAAAUAAUUAGUCAAUUUUUUUUAUCCAAUUUUAUCAUAUUAACCAUGAUUUUAACUUUGACGCCACCUCCCAAUGCCAGUCUGAUUACCGUCGUCAUUGGCUUAACACUUGAUCAUAAACCUCUACAAUUUGUCGCAGAUGAUAAUUAAACCGCUACAAAUCAUAGCUGUUUAUGCUAUAUAUGUGUUCGCAUGUAUUCCGCAACGGAUAGAGAUAUGAAAUUUUGUAAACCACUAUUAUAAAAUAAUUGCAUUCGUAUGCAGAGAAAAAAAUUCAAUCGUUGGAACUUGUAUAUUAGAUCAUCAAAUAAUUUAAUAAUGUAAAUUAUACUUAAAAUAAGGAAGAAAAAGGGAACUACAACUUCGAAGAGUUUUAGCUGAACCCAGAAACUGAAGUUUGAGGCUGUCUAGAGUUUACGUAGUAGGCUUACCUUAGCUUAACUCGGCUUACACCAGCUUUUUGUCUCUCUUCUGGUUCCUCUUCCUUUAUAUAGAAGCAAUCUUCUUACACCGUUUUCUCAAUCCUCAGUCUCAUUCCCUUUACUAAAAUAGAUAGACAGAGAGAUAGAUUGUUGUUUAUUCACAGUUUUCUUGUGUGUUUUGGGAAUUUUCUUAAUUAGUUGUUUAUUUUCGUAUGUUCUAGGUUUUUCUUUUGGCCUGUUUGUGGGGUUGGUGAAUUCUGGAUUUUGAUUGUAAAGUUUGAAGCUUUUCUGAGUUUAAAUGUGGGACUUUGCAUUGAUAUCUCACAUCAAGUGCAAUUCAGCAGUUGCGCCAUUCUGAGUGCAUUUGGUUCUUUAUGUGCUGUACUAGUUUUGAUACAUUUGCCAUGGUCAUUUGGAAUUUGGGGCCAAAUAUUCAGAUUUUUCUUAUUUUUACCAUUUUUAAGAAGUUGCAUUUAGCUUGAGCGCUGUUUUUCAAUUAAAUUGUUGCUGUUAUGAUUUUGAAGCAGUUUCUGUCCAAAAUUUGAUUUUGAAGCAGUUUCUGUAUAAAAUUUAUCUUUAAUGCAGUUGAACUUGUGCCAAUUUUGAGGAUUGAAAUUAUUUUGGAAAAUUUUCAAUAGUUUUGGAUGGUGAUUUUUUAGCUUUCUUCAACAGUUGGUCUGUGGAUUUUAAAUAUAGGAUAUUUUGAGUGACUCAUAUAUACUUCCAAUAAGACUUUUGAUAGUUUGAAAAAAAAAAAAGUGGAAAAUAGUUAAUGAAUAUUGAUUUUGAUAGCUUUGAAAAAAUGAUUUUGAGAGAAAUGAUGAGUUUUGUAAUAGUGAGGUUGGUUGAAGUUGAGUUAGCAUACUAAAUUUUAGAGAGCAAUUUGUAUCAGGUCAACAAAGUGUUCUGUAAAUUUUCAGAUUAUAUAUAUUUCAAUUUAAAAUCUAAUUUGCUUUUCUAAAAAACUUUUCUUGUACAAAUUUCCUUGGCUCAAAAUUUAUGUAUGUCUGAUUAUCUGUAUCUGGCGCCAAGUUCUAAUUUGGUCCUUAAAGUUUCAAACGUUAUGUUUUAGUCAUAUUUCAGUCCAAAAUAAUUUCAAAAACGGAUUCUAAUACCAAAAAAUAGAUAUGACUUAACAAUAAAAUUGUUAAGUCCAUAUCAAUCAUUCCAUUAACUAUGUGUCAAAUUUAAUUGAAUCCGUUUAAAACCUUUUAAAAUAAAAUAGAAGUUUAAAAGGUUAGAAACUAAAUUAAAAUUUAACCCAAGAGUUGGGGACCAAAAUAGCAGUUUACCAAUUUUUUCUAUUUGUUUAGGGAAUAUUUGUAGUUUAAGUUUUGAUUUAAUUUCCUACUCUUUACCGAUGACUUGGCAGAAGUGGUAACUUUUCAGGCUUGUCGGACGCUGGUAAUCUGGGAAGGAAUUUCAAGUGGAAACUUGCCAACAAAAGAACUCUAACACAAGCUGAAUUUUGAUUUGAAGUUUGUUUUCUAACAUAAUCAUGGAAGAUCAGUUUUUCUCUGAGGGAGAGGGAAUUGGGUAUUGGACACCUCCUGGCGCUCAAUUCGAUGGACCAAGCAUGAUAGACAACGGAAUAAAAAAUCUGAAAAUUCCCGGUGAAAAAACUGUACUAUGCAUUGAAGAAUCAGCUUGCUAUAUAAAUGAUAUUGUGGUAGGAGGAUUUGUUCGUGCAUGUGUUAAACAUUAUCUCGAGGAAGGGCAAGGUGUAGCUGGGAAAGCGCUUCAAUCAAAUCGUCCAUUCUUCUAUUCCGAUGUGAAGGCCUAUAAUAUUAGUGAAUAUCCCAUUG